GCGGAGGUGGCGGAAUAGGUAGACGCGCCAGACUUAGGAUCUGGUGGCCUUUUGGGCCGUGCGGGUUCGAGUCCCGCCCUCCGCA
RNAcentral lists this transfer RNA (85 nucleotides) under Bacillota bacterium. Its description in RNAcentral is "tRNA-Leu". It matches the Rfam family "tRNA". From Rfam's summary of the family: Transfer RNA (tRNA) molecules are approximately 80 nucleotides in length. Their secondary structure includes four short double-helical elements and three loops (D, anti-codon, and T loops). RNAcentral also lists the same sequence under 2 other names. Lineage: Bacteria; Bacillati; Bacillota. The record is from RNAcentral.